Molecule: ribosomal RNA, 448 nt
Filed under: uncultured bacterium
Lineage: Bacteria
Description: bacterial SSU rRNA
Rfam family: Bacterial small subunit ribosomal RNA
Source: RNAcentral
UACCAGACUCCUACGGGAGGCAGCAGUGGGGAAUAUUGCACAAUGGGGGAAACCCUGAUGCAGCGACGCCGCGUGAGCGAUGAAGUAUUUCGGUAUGUAAAGCUCUAUCAGCAGGGAAGAAGAUGACGGUACCUGACUAAGAAGCCCCGGCUAACUACGUGCCAGCAGCCGCGGUAAUACGUAGGGGGCAAGCGUUAUCCGGAUUUACUGGGUGUAAAGGGAGCGUAGACGGCGAUGCAAGCCAGAUGUGAAAGCCCGGGGCUCAACCCCGGGACUGCAUUUGGAACUGUGUGGCUGGAGUGUCGGAGAGGCAGGCGGAAUUCCUAGUGUAGCGGUGAAAUGCGUAGAUAUCAGGAGGAACACCGGUGGCGAAGGCGGCCUGCUGGACUGCAACUGACGUUGAGGCCCGAAAGCGUGGGGAGCAAACAGGAUUAGAUACCCGGGUAAA